Molecule: ribosomal RNA, 448 nt
Filed under: uncultured bacterium
Lineage: Bacteria
Description: partial 16S ribosomal RNA
Rfam family: Bacterial small subunit ribosomal RNA
Source: RNAcentral
AACGAACGCUGGCGGCAUGCCUAAUACAUGCAAGUCGAACGAGAUCUUCGGAUCUAGUGGCGCACGGGUGCGUAACGCGUGGGAAUCUGCCCUUGGGCUCGGAAUAACGUCGGGAAACUGACGCUAAUACCGGAUGAUGACGUAAGUCCAAAGAUUUAUCGCCCAAGGAUGAGUCCGCGUAGGAUUAGCUAGUUGGUAAGGUAAAGGCUUACCAAGGCGACGAUCCUUAGCUGGGCUGAGAGGAUGAUCAGCCACACUGGGACUGAGACACGGCCCAGACUCCUACGGGAGGCGGCAGUAGGGAAUAUUGGACAAGGGCGCAAGCCUGAUCCAGCAAUGCCGCGUGAGUGAUGAAGGCCUUAGGGUUGUAAAGCUCUUUUACCCGGGAUGUUAAUGACAGUACCGGGAGAAUAAGCCCCGGCUAACUCCGUGCCAGCCGCCGCCGUAA